GACGAACGCUGGCGGCGUGCCUAAUACAUGCAAGUAGAACGCUGAAGAGAGGAGCUUACUCUUCUUGGAUGAGUUGCGAACGGGUGAGUAACGCGUAGGUAACCUGCCUUGUAGCGGGGGAUAACUAUUGGAAACGAUAGCUAAUACCGCAUAACAAUGGAUGACACAUGUCAUUUAUUUGAAAGGGGCAUUGCUCCACUACAAGAUGGACCUGCGUUGUAUUAGCUAGUAGGUGAGGUAAUGGCUCACCUAGGCGACGAUACAUAGCCGACCUGAGAGGGUGAUCGGCCACACUGGGACUGAGACACGGCCCAGACUCCUACGGGAGGCAGCAGUAGGGAAUCUUCGGCAAUGGGGGCAACCCUGACCGAGCAACGCCGCGUGAGUGAAGAAGGUUUUCGGAUCGUAAAGCUCUGUUGUAAGUCAAGAACGGGUGUGAGAGUGGAAAGUUCACACUGUGACGGUAGCUUACCAGAAAGGGACGGCUAACUACGUG
Molecule: ribosomal RNA, 496 nt
Filed under: uncultured bacterium
Lineage: Bacteria
Description: partial 16S ribosomal RNA
Rfam family: Bacterial small subunit ribosomal RNA
Source: RNAcentral